GCAUACCUUUGAGGUCGAUAUCUCUUGGCUCAGGUUGGUCGCCAAUUCGAGCGGAGCAUGAUAUUCCUAUGAAGAAAGCAAUUUAGUUCCUCCAUCUCAAAUUUUGCACAUGACCUCAACAAUCCCAUUCUAUGCUAAGCUAUUAUGUCACAUCCUUAAAUUUGUUAUAGUACAUCAAUUAGACUGAGUUUUUUAAGAUAUCAUUGGAGCAAGAAGGUAAUGUGAAAAUCACCAUAGAGAAAACUCUCUCCUCUCGCUCUCUUUUGAUAUUCUUUCUUCCUUUAUAUUUCUCUAAAAUAUUAUUUAAUUUAAGCAUCGAAGGAUCCAACUAGAGCUACUCUAGCAAGCUCUUAUCCUUAUCUAUUGUCUUUCAAGUCCACUCCACAUUCUAAGAUUGGUGGUAAUAAUAUCCAAAACCUUUUACAAUUGUAUGGAUGUAAUUAGCAACC
Molecule: long non-coding RNA, 449 nt
Filed under: Elaeis guineensis (African oil palm)
Lineage: Eukaryota; Viridiplantae; Streptophyta; Magnoliopsida; Arecales; Arecaceae
Description: long non-coding RNA (EGUI_LNC019997)
Source: RNAcentral